GAAAAGGAAAAGAAGGUGAGGAGCAGCACGUAUUGGAGUCUUGGUAGGGAAAAGAAGGAAGAUAGCAGGAAAGGAGAUUUUUUUUGGAAAGAAGACUUUUAGCACGCUGAGUGUAGAGGAGGAAAUUGGGAAGAUUUUUGGAGGUCGUCUUGAGGGGAAGUAUAGAGAGAGGGACUGACAGCACACAUCCUUCUCGUUUGAAGCUGAGCAAUUCUCCUCAAAGAUUGGUUCUUCCAGGUAUGGUCAUGUGAAAUUUGCAUUCUCUCAUCUCUAUAUGAUCCUAAAUAUUAUUUUGCAAGUCCCGGUGUUAUCUUAUUGAUUGUUGUGGAGAUUUAGGACUGAUCGUCUCUCUUGCUGAAUAUAUUUAAACAUGAGCAUGCUCUGUUUUUGGUUUCUAUUUUUAAUCUUUCUAAUCUCUGUUAUUAAUGGCUGAUGUAUGGGAUUGUCGUUGAUAUUGAUAUCCAAGACCCGUUCUCUUAUUCUCUGGAGUCCCUACCUAUUUCUUUUUAAGCCCUUUUGAAAACAAUGAAUUGUGGCUUGCCUAUUCACCCGUCUUUAUCUCUCCUGCCUUCUUUUGGAUUAUAUUUUCUUGUCUUCUGCUUCUAUGUGUUUAUUUCUCUUCCCUCCUUUGGCGUUUGGGCUACGGAGACCACGAGGGCAUUGAGUAUUUCAUGAAAGGUAGAAACUUUACGAAGGCUGUGUAGAAUGUGGGCUGUUUGUAGGGUUGGCACAUGAUAACAGAUUGUUGAGUCAGAUUGGGUAUUUCCUCUUCAAGGCAAGAAAGUCGUUAAACCGGGUUCUGGAUGUGAUUUAGUUGGAUGCAGAAGUUGCUUCAAUUUUUGGGGCUCUCUGUUUGUGGUAUUCUGGGCUGCAAUCCUAACGGGAUCAGUACAACACCUCUUUUCACUGCUACUGUCGCUUGUGUUCCAACAGAAGUGCACGCUGAAGAUAUUGAUGAAGUUGAGUUUAAAAUAUCUCCAGGAUCACCCUUUUGUUGCUGCUACUAGAUCCUAUUAUAGUGAACCUUGCUUGCUUCACGGUGUGGGAUAGAUGCUAUCUAAAGGGACGGUAUAACUGAAGAAUAAAUGCUGAAGUGCACAGGAGUAGUAUAACAGGGGCAGUUGCAACUCUGAAACAGAGAAUGCUGUUUGUCAUGAAGCUGAAGCUUUUUUUUUUUUGGAGACCUUUUCUCUGAGGGUGGUCGGUCUGUAAGAUUUACAGAUGGAUGCGUUCGAGCCCCUGUUUCAGUCAAUCCGACUUCCAAUUACUGCAAUAUGCUAAUUUAAGCUGCUUCAGAAGUAUUGUGAUUUCUAAAAGACUCUGCCUUUUCUCUAGAAUGGCACACCUCAGUUUACGAGGAUGGUUGUAAAAAGCUUAGUUGGAAGCACAUGGGUAUUCUGCUUUCCAUACUCAAUUGUCAGGGUUGCUAUUCUGAAGACAGGAUUUCUGACAACAUUACAAGUUUACAUGAGCAGAGGAAGAAUGGAUUUUUUAGGAAUAUGGUCUGGCUUAAGUUGGCCAAUAUUUAAGUUAUUGAAACUUGACAGCAUCAUGCUGCGCACUUCCACUGCUUAGGACUCUUUUUUUUUUACCCAACUCAAAUGGUUGCAGACUUGCUGGCCUUAUGGUUCCGAAGAUGAGUGCCUGGGAAAGCCUUUUGAUAUUGAUGGUUCGAACUAUGACUAUUCAGCGAGCAGAAAAUUUUAAAACAGCAGUACUGUAAGGCCGACGAUCAUUAUAUUCUAUUUUGGGGAACUUGUAACUCAUUAUGGGUAGUCAUUGAAUACCCCCUUUAGGGAUACAUUCAUUCAAAGUGAACAUGGACCAGAAAAAUUCCAAAGUGAGUAUAAUGACAAGUAUUGUGAGGCACCUCUAUGAUCAGCAAAAGCUAGAAACUUUUGGGAGUUAUAAGAAUUCAUUCGAUUGUUAUGAAAAAAAUUCUCAUGGGAAGACUGAAAUUGAGAAACAAGAGCAUGAAUCUGACCUUGAGAUUAACAGUUACGAAGCUGUUAGUUCGACCGAAACGGAAAUCAAGUGCCUAAAUUAUGAUUGUCUCUUCCAGUGAUUUAUCACUACAGAUGCAAACAAUUCAAAAUAACUAAGUUCUGUAGUUUCAAUUUCAAGAAGCUCAACAGUUGGGGUUGGAAUACAUAAAAAAGGUGAUGCAACAAGAAACUUCUCAUGGAAUCAUUCUUGUGACACUACCGAUGAGGAGCUCAUAUCAGUUGCAAUGGAAAACUAUCAACAUUCAGAGCUUCAGCAUGGUUCUGAAAGGCUUUUUUAUACCAGAAAAGCAACUUCUCUAACUUCUCAGGAAAGGCUACGUCGGACUUGUGUGUUAAGAUGGAAUUAUACAAAUAUAAAAUUAGCUUAUGCUUUGCAAAACGGACUGGGGGCAGAACUUUAAUAGUAGAACCAGAAUUUGUGAGAGAUGAAGGUAGACAUUGAUCAAGGAAGGUCUAAACAAGGCAGUAGAAAUGAAGUCAUUGUUAUUUCUAAGCGUUUAUAUUGAGAGUCAAUAUGCAGAGACUGGCUGAAUUGGGUCCGGCAAGCAUCUAAUGCUACUGGAGGUGAGAGUGAUGAAUGCAGGGUUCCCCCUCAAAUGGGUCCUACCAUACUGCAUUGCUGGAAUAUUCCACCUUAUUCUUCACAAGUUUUCUUUUUCAUACUCCAAGAGUCUCAAAAGGGAGAAGAAAGCGAUGCUGAUAAGAAUCCAGAAUUAAAUGAGGAGCUACAGGGUGCAUCAGGGGUUUUGUUGGAGAGUCAAGCCACUGCCAGUAGAAGUGAACAAGAGAAAGAACUGACAAUCGUUGUCCAGUAGAAAGCAUGGGAAAUCCAUGAUUCUGGUGUUUUAGUUGAUAUGGAUCUCUAAUUAACUGAGGGAUCUCAUUAUUCUGCCCAAAACAAGAUGCCAACAAGCUCACCAAUAACACGUGACAGUGCUCGCAAUGAUCCUCUUGAAUAAGGCUCCCCUACUUUCGUUUUUACCAUCAGGCCUGCUGACAAUAUUAGAAAUUUUAAGGUUGAUUGCAAAUGCGUUCACUCUGCCUGUUCGUUGGCUUCAUGAUAACUUCUGAAUCAGAAGCCCAAGUAGUGCAGAGGGACCGCUUCAUCUAUCAUUGGCCUUUGCUCUUGAGGCUCAUAAAAGGCACUCUAGAAGAGGUUGCUGCAUCGUCUGUUGCACCGCUAAGAUACCAUGAAUCUGACCACUCGGUUUGCAUCCAUUCUGGAUGUGAUUCCCUUGAAACCAGGUGCUGACAACUCAGCCCAAAGAUUCUUUAAUUUCUGAUCAAUUAAAUGAUAGAAUGUUGUUGGAUUCAUUAGCUUGCAAGAAACAAUCUGUUAUCUCUGAGGACUACAUUACUGAUAAACCCGAGGGGUCAAAGGUAAAAGGUCAUGCAUUAACUAGUCAUAUUCAUUUGAAGAUUUGUGUAGUAAUGCUACUUUCUACCAAGAAGACAUUGUACUUGUUGAAAUGGGCUCAGAAAAUUGGGGAUUACUGGAUGGUGAUGUGCUGGCACGAGUCUUCCAUUUUCUGAAAACUGAUGUAAAAUCUCUUGUUUUUUAGCUGCUUUGACUUGUAGACAUCGGAGAGCUACAGCAAGGUUCUUCAAGGGUGUUCCCAGGCAGGUUGAUUUGUCAUCUGUUAGCUCUCUCUCUACACUGACUCUACAAUUUGGAGCAUACCAUAGAGUGCAUUGUGUCAGUUUCUGGAUUAUCCAUGGUAGAAAGGCUAAUCAGUUACAAGAUAUAGGCAACAAACUUGACCAGUGGCUCAUGUAUGCAAUGUUUAUAUGCUCGUGCUCAUUAAAUAAUAAAGAAGCUAGAAGGUUGGUAGCAAGUGAGGACCUUUGCCAUCUCACUUUUCCCUCAUUAAAAUCUCAUCCACUUUAAGGCAUACAUAUGGAAUUUAGAUACAUUGAGUUCAGAUUAUCGUUUGAAGUGUCACAAUGAUAUGAGUUGAGGAGUUCUUUCUACCCAAGCGAUGUUCAUUCACUCCAAUGGGUUUAAUCUCAUCCUUAGACUUGGUAUCUCUAAAACUUACCAAUCUCUAUUCCUCCUGUUCUUAUACCAGCACCAAGCAGAUAUUUAGAAUGCAAAAGACAAUCCUCUUCCCGGAAAUGCAGGUUACAAGAAAUGAUAAACUGCCAACAGAAUUGGGCAAGAAUCGAGGCUUGCCACUGCCAGUGACUCUAAUGACGCUGCCGAUUCUGAAUUCAGGUUAAAAGAUUUAAAUUUGAGGGUAAAUAUAGUGUUUCUCAAUUCAACAGAACACACCAGUUGACUCGCUUAGUUUGAUAGAACACAUCAGCAAGUUAGCAUCCAACCAACAUGAAUAAGAAUCAGUGAACUCAUGUUACCUUGAUUGUCCUCACGUUGAUGAUCCCCAAGCAAACCAGAGGUGACAGGUCCAGAAUAUCAGAAGGGAUGGGAUAGCCUUGUGAUGAGAGCAAGAAAAUAACCUGCAGAUCAUUCGAAUGUUCCAAGGUUACUCAUUGACAUAUUUCAGAUUUUCAAGAAUUCCUUCAACGCCAUCAUGCCUGCCAACAAGUAGAAGGAAUUGGAACAACCUCAGACUCAUGAGCAGAAUGUACAUCUGCAAUUUAAUCAAACUGGGAGGACUCCCCAAAAUCUGCAGAAGUUGCACUCUAACAGGUUUUCCUCCAUAUUCCAGAAGUUCCAAAAAGAAAAAAAAAAAACUGAUGGUGAUGAGGAGAGAGAUCGAGAAUUAAAUGAUGGUGUUAUUGUCCAUAAUAUUUUUAUAAUUGAUAACCAAGAUGAUGCUAAAGGGGAUGAUUGUACUGAUAAAAGCGAAACUGCUAGUCUGAUUAGCAAUACGGAGAAACAGGAAACAGGAACCAAGCCAGAAGCUGAUCCUGAAGCCACAAGAAAUGGACCUAUUGCAAAGAUAGUUGUUGAUGGAGUACAAUUUCUGUAUAGCGAGAAAGAAGAGAUGGAAGCUCAAAAGAAACAGGCAGAGGUAUUUCAGUUAUCUCAACAGAUGCAGUUUUUGUAUAGUACAGAAAUUGUUAUGAGCCCUCAAGAUGAGGAAAUUACUGCAUAUCAUCACCAAUAUCCAACUGAGUCUUUCAGAUGCCUAUUGCACAAAGAGAUGAUGAGUGAUCCAGUUGCAAUCGUCUGUAGGCAUAGCUGUGAGAGGAAGUCGAUUCAGGAAAAUUUCUGAAGAGAAGAGAAGACCUGCCCCAUAUGCAGAGAAAGGCUCGGGUCGUGGAGCUUACUCCAAAUCCUUUGCUUUGGAACUCUAUAGAAGAAUAAAAGCAAAAAGGCAUGAACUUAAAAUUCCAAGCUGCUCUUCUUGGAAUCACCCCCAAUGACCACUCUAUACAGAACAAAGCCUAGGAGGAGAUGCAAGUUCUAAUGGGAAGGCCACGCUAUACAGAAAAAGUUGCAGAGGAAGGCCUCAUCUCAAAAUUUGAGAUCUCUACUUCUACAGAUCCAGAAGAGCCACUAGUGUUCAGAAAAGGCCAUCCUAUAAAUUGAGGACAGUCCAAGAUACCAUGUAACAUAUUGUUUGAGAUGUUCAAGAAUCUUAGAUCAGCGAGGUCACAUAAUUCAUGUAGAAUCAGUCCAUGGAGGAGGUUCUCAAAAAUGUCCAGGCACUGAAGCUGUGAGAGAUGGCCAAAGUAUUCGGUUAUACUACCAGUGAGUCUUUUGCUAUGCGGACCCAAGGAAGUCGGGUAAAGACCAAUAAGGCUAAUCAGUUUUGAGAAAGAAGAAAUUGAACUAGACAGAUGAUUGAUGCUUAGAUCCAGAUCAGAAAAGGCUUUGUAGCAUGCCAAGUGAAACUAGUGGUGAGAUCUAAGUUGAUUUAGAGAUUGAAGCAGAAUGGUCCAUCAAACACCUCUUUUUUUAAUAACUAGCAGAUUGCAAAGCUAUCAACAAGGGUCUUUUCAUGCAAGUAUCAACAGCUGAAUCAUUAGCACCUUCAUGCUUCCAAACUCUACUUCUAGCAUGGCCAUCUUGACGCACACCUCUUCCUCCAUUUUCUUUUUUGAGAAUUCACAGUUUUGAAUUGAUCUUUCAAACCCUUUUUAACUGAAUAAAUUUAGCUUUGAAGAUUCAUCAAAACAACUUUAGUUUUCUUUAAAAGUUCCUUAGGAGCUUCUAGGUAUAAAAUCCCAACUUUAACAUGCUAUUCGCUGCCACUUUCCUUCGGGCAUGCACUUUCAUUGUUUUAUUCGAUUUUCAACUGAUUUUCCUGAUUUUUCUCAAUUUUUUCUCAAGCAUGAAUAAACUUCAUAAUUCCAAAUCAUGGAAUUUAUGGAAUUAACUCAUGCAAAAUUAAUUAGGGCUUUGGCGGGGGCCCGACAUUCAUGAUACCUUCUUCAAUAUUGUUUGCUUGAUAUGUUGAUUUUUGAUUCUUCUUGAUGAUAUACAUGAAUUUGUUUCGUAUUUAUUGUUGAGAUGCUCUUGAUUCCCAUAGAGGAGUACUAGCUUGCUAUCCAGGUACGCUCUCUUCUCAUCUAUUUUUUUUUAGAACUCUAUGGACUUGUAGGCCAUUGAUGACUAUAUCCAUAUUUGACGUGAUUCUUGGAUGUCUUGAUAUAUGCCUGAUUUGCUUGGAUAAAACAAAUGUUGUGUGCUACAAUUUUAUAAUAACUCUGAUGUUUUAUGAUAGCGCUUGAGAAGCGGUCCAGGUACGCAUCCUAUCCUUCCUU
Molecule: long non-coding RNA, 6680 nt
Filed under: Vitis vinifera (wine grape)
Lineage: Eukaryota; Viridiplantae; Streptophyta; Magnoliopsida; Vitales; Vitaceae
Description: long non-coding RNA (VVIN_LNC003507)
Source: RNAcentral